Molecule: ribosomal RNA, 244 nt
Filed under: uncultured bacterium
Lineage: Bacteria
Description: partial small subunit ribosomal RNA
Rfam family: Bacterial small subunit ribosomal RNA
Source: RNAcentral
GGAAUCAACGCUGGCGGCGUGCCUAACACAUGCAAGUCGAACGAGAAAGUGGAGCAAUCCAUGAGUAAAGUGGCGCACGGGUGAGUAACACGUGACUAACCUACCCUUGAGUGGGGGAUAACCUAGAGAAUCUGGGCUAAUACCGCAUAAUACCUUCGGGUCAAAGGAGCAAUUCGCUUAAGGAGGGGGUCGCGGCCGAUUAGUUAGUUGGCGGGGUAAUGGCCCACCAAGACUAUGAUCGGUA